GUGAAUCAUCAAAUUUUUGAACGCAAAUUGCACUUUCUGGUAUUCAGGAAAGUAUGCCUGUUUGAGGGUCAGUUAAAUAAUAAACGGCGUUGUUGCUGACUUUAGUGCUGACACGUCGGAAUUGGGUCGUCUUACUUUCGGUUAAGUGACUUAAAAUAUUUGCAUGAUUUUUGAAAGUCUUUAAUUCACUUACGUACGUUUGAGAUAUCGAAUGAUUAUUAGAUUCGGUCAUUCGCAUGCUUUGCGCAUUU
Molecule: unclassified non-coding RNA, 251 nt
Filed under: Glomus sp.
Lineage: Eukaryota; Fungi; Glomeromycota; Glomeromycetes; Glomerales; Glomeraceae
Description: partial contains 5.8S ribosomal RNA and internal transcribed spacer 2
Rfam family: 5.8S ribosomal RNA (bases 1-71)
Source: RNAcentral